AGGACUCCUCUUCAUAUUGCAGCAUCAGAAGGACGUAAUGAAGUUGUAUCAGUUUUAUUGUCUAAUGGUGCUGAUCCAAACAUUAAAGAUGAAGAUGAAAGGACUCCUCUUCAUUAUGCAGCAUUAAUAGGACGUAAUGAAGUUGUAUCAGUUUUAUUGUCUAAUGGUGCUGAUCCAA
Amphimedon queenslandica is the source of this 178-nucleotide long non-coding RNA. RefSeq lists it as uncharacterized. The transcript has 2 exons. Lineage: Eukaryota; Metazoa; Porifera; Demospongiae; Haplosclerida; Niphatidae. The record is from RefSeq and is a predicted model, not a curated record.